Molecule: ribosomal RNA, 425 nt
Filed under: uncultured bacterium
Lineage: Bacteria
Description: bacterial SSU rRNA
Rfam family: Bacterial small subunit ribosomal RNA
Source: RNAcentral
AACGCGAAGAACCUUACCAGGGUUUGACAUGCCUGCGCAGCGUUCAGAGAUGGGUGUACCCGCAAGGGACGCAGGCACAGGUGCUGCAUGGCUGUCGUCAGCUCGUGCCGUGAGGUGUUGGGUUCAGUCCCGCAACGAGCGUAACCCCUAUCGGUAGUUACAUUUACUACCGAGACUGCCCCGAUCAACGGGGAGGAAGGUGGGGAUGACGUCAAGUCAGCACGGCCCUUACAUCCUGGGCGACACACACGCUACAAUGGCCGGUACAGAGGGAAGCCAACCCGCGAGGGGGAGCUAAUCCAAUCAAAGCCAGUCUCAGUUCGGAUUGCAGGCUGCAACCCGCCUGCAUGAAGCUGGAGUUGCUAGUAACCGUGGGUCAGCACACCACGGUGAAUACGUUCCCGGGCCUUGUACACACCGCACGA